GGGUGCCUGUGUGAUUGGAGAGUCCCUCGGCAUCUUCCAGAAUGAGUGUUUUAGUGACUCCUCACUUUGGAUAUGAGGACACUAAGGUGUAGACGGGCUAAGUGACCUUCCUGGUGAUCAGCAGGAAUCCAUUGCUCAGGAACAGCUGGAGUGACAGUGCGCCUUGACAGCUGGGGUGAGCUCUAACCUUGGCCACGGUGCACCUCGAGGAGGGAAGGCUGUGUACCCCCGGCGAAGACCGGGGCUGCGGCUCCCAGAUCUGGAGCCUGGCCCGUCCCCGCUGGGCCGGCCUCUGGCUCCUGUCUGACCGCGGAGCCUAGGCGUGCUGCUUCCCGCUCUUCUUCUGGGCUGGCCAGGAGUCCUCUCCGUUUUCUGUCUAGGCCUCUGAGCCGCUCAGCCCUACUCCCUCACAGCUCCCUUCUCUCCACCUGGCUGUGGAUCUUUCCAGGGAAAGCCGCAUCUGAGAAUCCUCCACAUUUGUGAGGAUGAAUAAAGACAGAGUGUCAACUUGAUUACCUGAGCAUUUCAAAAGGAGGGAACGCUCCGAAAUCGCACACAGCAUCUGUGAUAAAUGAGGCGGAUUCGACAUAACAGAGAACAGGAAAGGAAUGGAGAAGCAAGACACUGUUGGAGAAAAAUGAGACUCUCCUCAAAAUGUGUUGCUUCUCGCCUCCCUCGGCUGCAAGUGACCCUCUCUUCGGUGACACAGAUGCACAGUGGAGAGACCACGGAACGUCCCUUUAAGUGGACGACCCAGAAAAAUUGUGUUAUGCUCUCUGUUAGCCCCCCAAAUUUCAAUGUAGUUUUAAUGUAAAAUUGCAAUAAUAAGGUUGUAAUGUAAAUUAUGCACACAUUUUGGGUUUCUCUCUGGCUGAAUUUUAACACUUAACCAUUUGGCCUUCUGGUAGAAUGUACCUUUAGCUACACCAGGUCUGUCCAGAAAGUAUCAAGCCAUGUAGCAU
Long non-coding RNA from Phyllostomus hastatus (greater spear-nosed bat), 962 nucleotides. RefSeq lists it as uncharacterized. Lineage: Eukaryota; Metazoa; Chordata; Mammalia; Chiroptera; Phyllostomidae. The record is from RefSeq and is a predicted model, not a curated record. The transcript is spliced from 3 exons.